This 546-nucleotide ribosomal RNA is filed under the name uncultured bacterium. RNAcentral describes it as "bacterial SSU rRNA". It matches the Rfam family "Bacterial small subunit ribosomal RNA", at positions 777 to 1319 of the family's 1533-position model. The record is from RNAcentral.
AAUAGAUACCGGGUAGUCCAUGCCGUAAACGUUGGGAACUAGAUGUAGGGCCUGUUCCACGGGUUCUGUGUCGUAGCUAACGCAUUAAGUUCCCCGCCUGGGGAGUACGGCCGCAAGGCUAAAACUCAAAGGAAUUGACGGGGGCCCGCACAAGCGGCGGAGCAUGCGGAUUAAUUCGAUGCAACGCGAAGAACCUUACCAAGGCUUGACAUAUAGAAGAACGCGCCAGAAAUGGUGAACUCUUUGGACACUUCUAUACAGGUGGUGCAUGGUUGUCGUCAGCUCGUGUCGUGAGAUGUUCGGUUAAGUCCGGCAACGAGCGCAACCCUCGUCCUAUGUUGCCAGCGGGUUUAUGCCGGGGACUCAUGGGAUACUGCCGUGGUCAACACGGAGGAAGGUGGGGAUGACGGUCAAAUCAUCAUGCCCCUUAUGUCUUGGGCUUCACGCAUGCUACAAUGGCCGGUACAGAGGGUUGCGAUACCGCGAGGUGGAGCGAAUCCCGAAAAAGCCGGUCUCAGUUCGGAUUGGGGUCUGCAACUCGACCCC